This 31-nucleotide non-coding RNA is filed under the name Rattus norvegicus (Norway rat). Lineage: Eukaryota; Metazoa; Chordata; Mammalia; Rodentia; Muridae. The record is from RNAcentral.
UGACCAGAGCCGCACAUUAUUUAUUGCAGAC